AUGAACGCUGGCGGCGUGCCUAAUACCUGCAAGUCGAGCGAACGGACGAGAAGCUUGCUUCUCUGAUGUUAGCGGCGGACGGGUGAGUAACACGUGGAUAACCUACCUAUAAGACUGGGAUAACUUCGGGAAACCGGAGCUAAUACCGGAUGAUAUUUUGAACCGCAUGGUUCAAAAGUGAAAGACGGUCUUGCUGUCACUUAUAGAUGGAUCCGCGCUGCAUUAGCUAGUUGGUAAGGUAACGGCUUACCAAGGCAACGAUGCAUAGCCGACCUGAGAGGGUGAUCGGCCACACUGGAACUGAGACACGGUCCAGACUCCUACGGGAGGCAGCAGUAGGGAAUCUUCCGCAAUGGGCGAAAGCCUGACGGAGCAACGCCGCGUGAGUGAUGAAGGUCUUCGGAUCGUAAAACCCUGUUAUUAGGGAAGAACAUAUGUGUAAGUAACUGUGCACAUCUUGACGGUACCUAAUCAGAAAGCCACGGCUAACUACGUG
This 496-nucleotide ribosomal RNA is filed under the name uncultured bacterium. Its description in RNAcentral is "partial 16S ribosomal RNA". It matches the Rfam family "Bacterial small subunit ribosomal RNA", at positions 29 to 507 of the family's 1533-position model. The record is from RNAcentral.